AAUCUGGCUUCAGGUUCGGGACAACAGUUGGAAACGGCUGCUAAUACCGGAUGUGCCCUUGGGUGAAAGAUUUAUCACCUGAAGAUGAGCUCGCGUCUGAUUAGCUAGUAGGUGUGGUAAGAGCGCACCUAGGCGACGAUCAGUAGCUGGUCUGAGAGGAUGAUCAGCCACACUGGGACUGAGACACGGCCCAGACUCCUACGGGAGGCAGCAGUGGGGAAUUUUCCGCAAUGGGCGAAAGCCUGACGGAGCAAUACCGCGUGAGGGAGGAAGGCUCUUGGGUUGUAAACCUCUUUUCUCAGGGAAGAAUGAUGACGGUACCUGAGGAAUAAGCAUCGGCUAACUCCGUGCCAGCAGCCGCGGUAAUACGGAGGAUGCAAGCGUUAUCCGGAAUGAUUGGGCGUAAAGCGUCCGCAGGUGGCAAUGUAAGUCUGCUGUCAAAGCGUCUGGCUCAACCAGAUAAAGGCAGUGGAAACUACAUAGCUAGAGUAAGGUAGGGGUAGAGGGAAUUCCUGGUGUAGCGGUGAAAUGCGUAGAGAUCAGGAAGAACACCGGUGGCGAAAGCGCUCUGCUGGACCUUAACUGACA
Molecule: ribosomal RNA, 588 nt
Filed under: Scytonema sp. HS010
Lineage: Bacteria; Bacillati; Cyanobacteriota; Cyanophyceae; Nostocales; Scytonemataceae
Description: bacterial SSU rRNA
Rfam family: Bacterial small subunit ribosomal RNA
Source: RNAcentral